UACAGAGGUCUCAAGCGUUUGUUCGGAUUCAUUGGGCGUAAAGGGUGUGUAGGUGGCGCGCUAAGUCGGGUGUGAAAUUUCGGAGCUUAACUCCGAAACUGCAUUCGAUACUGGCGUGCUUGAGGACUGGAGAGGAGACUGGAAUUUACGGUGUAGCAGUGAAAAUGCGUAGAUAUCGUAAGGAAGACCAGUGGCGAAGGCGGGUCUCUGGACAGUUCCUGACACUGAGACACGAAGGCCAGGGGAGCAAACGGG
RNAcentral lists this ribosomal RNA (255 nucleotides) under uncultured bacterium. RNAcentral's name for it is "partial 16S ribosomal RNA". It matches the Rfam family "Bacterial small subunit ribosomal RNA", at positions 524 to 776 of the family's 1533-position model. The record is from RNAcentral.